This 399-nucleotide transfer-messenger RNA is filed under the name Candidatus Melainabacteria bacterium. It matches the Rfam family "transfer-messenger RNA". Rfam says of the family: Bacterial tmRNA, also known as 10Sa RNA or SsrA, is named for its dual tRNA and mRNA-like properties. Its role is to liberate the mRNA from a stalled ribosome. The record is from RNAcentral. RNAcentral also lists the same sequence under 2 other names. Lineage: Bacteria; Bacillati; Candidatus Melainabacteria.
GGGGGCGUUUAGAUUCGACAGGGUUGUUGGGUCGUAGGCUGCAGGUCGAGGUCGCUUGGAUCCUCGUUAAAAGCUGAGCAAAACAACAAACGCCAAUGUAAUCAGCGUUGAUUUCUCUGCUAAGCGCGCUCUGCGCGCUGCCUAAAACUAACCUUUUAGAAGCGGAACUCGAUAGUUUCUUGACUACCCGAAACUAAAGGGUCAAACCACGGUGGUUGCCGCAGCACGAAGUUAGCGGUUAGUAGUGCUGCCUAAGACAUAAUCGCGAACCCGGGUAGCCGUUCAGGCUUCCUGCAGCGGGCUGAGCAAUCAGCGACUGUAGAAAUUUCUGAACUAAACUUGUAGACGCUUGCCUCUCGGCUUCUUUGGACGCGAGUGCGAUUCUCGCCGCCUCCACCA